UGACACUUAAUACCUUCUUCUAAACCAGCCUAACAAGAAUUCAAUCUUUUCAAAGGAAAAACAUGAAUGCCGAGCGAAAUGCUUGAGUCCUGUUGUUUGACAGGUUUGAAUUUAUCUCAUUCAAAGGUAAGACAAUUGUUGCAGUUGGAAUGCACCUUACCCUAACUAAUGACGAUCUUCUGGCGGAAUCAAGUUGUUGAUGAUAUCUUCAGUUGAUCUCAGCAACGU
RNAcentral lists this long non-coding RNA (228 nucleotides) under Medicago truncatula (barrel medic). RNAcentral's name for it is "long non-coding RNA (MTRU_LNC005690)". Lineage: Eukaryota; Viridiplantae; Streptophyta; Magnoliopsida; Fabales; Fabaceae. The record is from RNAcentral.